RNAcentral lists this ribosomal RNA (446 nucleotides) under uncultured Christensenellaceae bacterium. Its description in RNAcentral is "bacterial SSU rRNA". It matches the Rfam family "Bacterial small subunit ribosomal RNA", at positions 337 to 798 of the family's 1533-position model. Lineage: Bacteria; Bacillati; Bacillota; Clostridia; Christensenellales; Christensenellaceae. The record is from RNAcentral.
UCCUACGGGUGGCUGCAGGGAGGAAUAUUGGUCAAUGGGGGAAACCCUGAACCAGCAACGCCGCGUGAAGGAAGAAGGCCCUCGGGUUGUAAACUUCUGUUUUCAGGGACGAAGAAAGUGACGGUACCUGAAGAGAAAGCUCCGGCAAACUACGUGCCAGCAGCCGCGGUAAUACGUAGGGAGCGAGCGUUGUCCGGAAUCACUGGGCGUAAAGGGCGCGUAGGCGGUUUUACAAGUUGCAUGUGAAAGACCAUGGCUUAACCAUGGGGUGUCAUGCAAAACUGUAGGGCUUGAGUGCAGUAGAGGAAAGCGGAAUUCCUGGUGUAGCGGUAAAAUGCGUAGAGAUCAGGAGGAACACCGGUGGCGAAGGCGGCUUUCUGGGCUGUAACUGACGCUGAGGCGCGAAAGCGUGGGGAGCGAACAGGAUUAGAUACCCCGGUAGUCAC